This 743-nucleotide ribosomal RNA is filed under the name Strombidinopsis sp. LFS-2012. Its description in RNAcentral is "LSU rRNA". It matches the Rfam family "Eukaryotic large subunit ribosomal RNA", at positions 25 to 814 of the family's 3401-position model. Lineage: Eukaryota; Ciliophora; Spirotrichea; Choreotrichida; Strombidinopsidae. The record is from RNAcentral.
CCGCUGAACUUAAGCAUAUCACUAAGCGGAGGAAAAGAAACUAACUAGGAUUGUCUCAGUACCGGCGAGGGAAGCGGCAAGAGCCCAAAGUGGUAAUCUCCGGCCUGCGGUCGGCGAAUUGUAAUCUAAAGGUACGGAGCCUAAUUGGCUGAGGCGCAGAAGUGGUCACGAGAGACCCGCCAGAGAGGGUGAAAGCCCCGUAUGUGGUGCCUUGGCUUACCGGGCUGCGGGCCGAAGAGUCGAGUUGUUUUGUAUUGCAGCUCUAAGUGGGAGAUAAACUUCUCCUAAGGCUAAAUACGUGUGGGAAACCGAUAGCGAACAAGUACUGUGAAGGAAAGAUGAAAAGCACUUUGAAAAGAGAGUUAAAAGACCUGAAAUCGUUGAGGCGGAAGCGGUAGAAGAUAAUUCUGGCUGCGGCACCGCGAACCCUGCGAUAGCGGGGGGGUAGUGACGUGGCAUGAGCCAGGAUGGGGUCGUACGACGGCAGAGGCGGUUGGCGCAAGGGUGGCAACACACAGCGUCGGUUGGCCGGUCGGGUGCGGCUCGAGGGGCUUUGUGCGAUCUUGGCAAAAUGGAUUUUACCGACCCGUCUUGAAACACGGACCAAGGAGUCUAACACGCGCGCGAGUCUGGUGGUGGAAAAACCAACGGGCGAAAUGAAAGUGAUUGGUGCCAAGUUUACGCAGCAUCGACCGACCUUGAUCCACUGGUGAAGGGUUUGAGUAAGAGCGUGCUUGUUAGGA